This 465-nucleotide ribosomal RNA is filed under the name uncultured bacterium. RNAcentral's name for it is "partial 16S ribosomal RNA". It matches the Rfam family "Bacterial small subunit ribosomal RNA", at positions 28 to 507 of the family's 1533-position model. The record is from RNAcentral.
GACGAACGCUGGCGGCGUGCUUAACACAUGCAAGUCGAGCGAGGCCCCUCCUUCGGGAGGGUGUCCUAGCGGCGAACGGGUGAGUAACACGCGGGCAACCUGCCCUCAGCUCUGGGAUAACUCCGGGAAACCGGGGCUAAUACCGGAUACGACCUCCACGGGCAUCUGCGGAGGUGGAAAGUUUUUCGGCUGAGGAUGGGCCCACGGCCUAUCAGCUAGUUGGUGGGGUAGUGGCCCACCAAGGCGACGACGGGUAGCCGGCCUGAGAGGGCGACCGGCCACACUGGGACUGAGACACGGCCCAGACUCCUACGGGAGGCAGCAGUGGGGAAUAUUGCGCAAUGGGCGAAAGCCUGACGCAGCGACGCCGCGUGAGGGACGAAGGCCUUCGGGUUGUAAACCUCUUUCAGCAGGGACGAAGCGAAAGUGACGGUACCUGCAGAAGAAGCACCGGCCAACUACGUG